UCAGAUUUUUUGAUUUUAGAUAAUGCCUUCACUUACCGGCUUGGCGGAGUCCUCUUCUUGAGCGGACUAGUCACGUUAAUGGUCAGUUGACUGUCCGUUGUCAUUCUACGUGCGCAUGGCUGCGUUCUCCCUUUAUGCUGCUAAAAGCCAGCAAGCAGCUGAUAUCGCAACAGUCAGGAAGAACGAAACGAGAAAGGGGGAAGUAAUCGCACUACGUGUAUGCUAACAGCAGAAACAAGACAUUUCAGAAUUGACACUUGACGCUUUUCAAGGCUAGAAAAUGGGAGCCAAAAAGCCAACCAAGUUCCACACCUGCCAGCAACAAACUAGAAGAUUUUGUGUGCUAAAGCUUCCUCAAAUGAUGCUAUAGUCAAGCAAUUAUGAAAACUGAAGGUAAAAUAAGUGGACAACUGUGUCAAUGAGCAUCACCAAAGGUUUGCCACACCACCAAUUAUUCACAAUAAAAAUAAACUGAAGUGCUCCAAAACACUUCAGCUCAACAAAUCGUUCAGCAGAAGUGUGUCAAGAACCACUACUGGGGCUCCUUUAUACCAACAGUAAUAUGUAUGAAUAAUGCUUCACUGUGACCAUGUCUGCCAAGUCAGAAGUUUUUCUUCUUUUUUUAACUCUUGUUUUUAUAUAAGGGGUUGUUAUAGUUAUAAUAUUUCUAUAUUUCUUGAGCUUCUGCAAAAAGCUGAAUUGCCCCUUAGGACAAAUAGGUAUCCACUGUCAAAUUGGGAGCACUUAGGGAGCAUCUAGAUGAUUCUGUUGACAUGGCGCAACCAACCACACUGCCAGGGCAAAAACAAUCACUAACCAACACUUCUUUUUUCCCUGUGGACCAAAGGAUGAGUCCCAGGAUGGACCAUGACACUACUACCAGUAUAAAUAAGGAAAUCGUGCCUCUGCCACCCUGUGAGUUAUUUAAAGAAUGAAGGGACAAACUGGAAAAAAUCAAAUACUCAGAGGAUCUGUACGGAUUUUUUUCAAAACAUGGCACAAUCUAAUCAAUA
Polypterus senegalus (gray bichir) is the source of this 1013-nucleotide long non-coding RNA. RefSeq lists it as uncharacterized. NCBI's taxonomy places the organism in Eukaryota, Metazoa, Chordata, Cladistia, Polypteriformes, Polypteridae. The record is from RefSeq and is a predicted model, not a curated record. The transcript has 3 exons.